RNAcentral lists this ribosomal RNA (253 nucleotides) under uncultured bacterium. RNAcentral describes it as "partial 16S ribosomal RNA". It matches the Rfam family "Bacterial small subunit ribosomal RNA", at positions 524 to 776 of the family's 1533-position model. The record is from RNAcentral.
UACGUAGGUGGCGAGCGUUGUCCGGAUUUAUUGGGCGUAAAGCGCGCGCAGGCGGUGCGGUAAGUCCGUCGUGAAAUCUCCCGGCUCAACUGGGAGGGUGCGGUGGAGACUGCCGGACUGGAGGCACUCAGAGGCCGGUGGAAUUCCCGGUGUAGUGGUGGAAUGCGUAGAGAUCCGGAAGAACACCGGUGGCGAAGGCGGCCUGCUGGGCAGUGGCUGACGCUGAGGCGCGACAGCGUGGGGAGCAAACAGG